RNAcentral lists this ribosomal RNA (322 nucleotides) under uncultured eukaryote. RNAcentral's name for it is "partial 18S ribosomal RNA". It matches the Rfam family "Eukaryotic small subunit ribosomal RNA", at positions 1470 to 1796 of the family's 1831-position model. The record is from RNAcentral.
CCCUUAGAUGUUCUGGGCCGCACGCGUGCUACACCGAGUGGAUCAGCGGGUCAGGUUGCGCGAAAGCGUUUCCUAAUCUUUAAAUCCGCUCGUGAUGGGGAUUGACGGUUGCAAUUUUCUGUCAUGAACGAGGAAUACCUUGUAAGCGCGGGUCAUCAUCCCGCGCUGAAUACGUCCCUGCCCUUUGUACACACCGCCCGUCGCUCCUACCGAUUGAGUGGUCCGGUGAGGCUUUGGGAUCUGAGCGGAAAGAGCGUUUCGCUGUUUCUGCUCGGAAAACUCAGUCGAACCUUAUCAUUUAGAGGAAGGAGAAGUCGUAACA